GUACGUAGGGACCGAGCGUUGUCCGGAAUCAUUGGGCGUAAAGAGCGUGUAGGCGGCUUGCUAAGUCAUGUGUGAAAUCCCUCGGCUCAACCGGGGAACGACGCAUGAAACUGGCAAGCUAGAGUACCAAAGAGGGGGGUGGAAUUCCUGGUGUAGCGGUGGAAUGCGCAGAUAUCAGGAGGAACACCUAUAGCGAAGGCAGCUCGCUGGGACGGUACUGACGCUGAGGCGCGAAAGCGUGGGGAGCGAACAGG
This 254-nucleotide ribosomal RNA is filed under the name uncultured bacterium. Its description in RNAcentral is "partial 16S ribosomal RNA". It matches the Rfam family "Bacterial small subunit ribosomal RNA", at positions 523 to 776 of the family's 1533-position model. The record is from RNAcentral.